This 253-nucleotide ribosomal RNA is filed under the name uncultured bacterium. RNAcentral's name for it is "partial 16S ribosomal RNA". It matches the Rfam family "Bacterial small subunit ribosomal RNA", at positions 524 to 776 of the family's 1533-position model. The record is from RNAcentral.
UACGGGGGGUGCGAGCGUUGUCCGGAAUCACUGGGCGUAAAGGGCGCGUAGGUGGUUUGAUAAGGGUGUGGUGAAAGUCCGGGGCUCAACCCCGGAUCUGCCGUGCCGACUGUCAAACUCGAGGACUGUAGAGGCAGACGGAAUUCCGGGUGUAGCGGUGGAAUGCGUAGAGAUCCGGAAGAACACCGGUGGCGAAGGCGGUCUGCUGGGCCAAGACUGACGCUGAGGCGCGACAGCGUGGGGAGCAAACAGG